CACACGCAAGGCGAGGGGCAGCGGAGAGGAAGCAACACCGCCGCCGGCGACCGGCGCACGGGAGAGAAACACGAACGCAACCCACCAGAAACAGGGGGACAACCCGGAGAAACCCGGACAAACACCCCAAAAGAGGGGCGCCCCGCAAGGAGAACCCAAAAAAGAGAGCAAGGGGGGCAACAGACGAGCACGCGCACCAACAGCCAGGGGGCGGGGAAACGGCCCACCAAGGCGACGAAGGAGAGGGGAACAGAGAGGACGGCCCCCCACAAAGGAACAGAGACACGGUCCAAACCCCGACGGGAGGCAGCAGUGAGGAAUAUUGGUCAAUGGUCGGCAGACUGAACCAGCCAAGUCGCGUGAGGGAAGACGGACAAAAAAAUUGUNNCCCUCUUUUGUCGGGGCGUNNNGUUCGCUNCGUGUNGCGUNUUGCNNGUUUCCGNNGNNNNNGCUUCGGCUNNCUCCGUGCCNGCCGCCGCGGUNNUUCGGNGGNUGCGNGCGUUUUCCGGNUUUNUUGGGUUUNNNGGGUGCGUNGGCGGCUCGCCCNGUCUGCGGUGNNNUUUCCGGGCUCUNCCCGGNGUGUGCCGUUGNNNCUGGCGNGCUUGUGUNCUCUUGNGGCUGGCGGNNUGCGUGGUGUNGCGGUGNNNUGCUUUGNUUUCGCGCUGUNCCCCGUUUGCGUUGGCUGCCUGCUAGGGUGAAACAGACGCUGUGGCACGAAAGCGUGGUCUCGAACAGGAUUAGGAUACCCUGGUGUCCACGCUGUCCCCCCAAAAGGGGAACUGUUUGCGAUACAAUGUAAGCGGUACAGCGAAAGCGUUAAGUAUUCCACCUGGGGAGUACGCCGGCAACGGUGAAACUCAAAGGAAUUGACGGGGGCCCGCACAAGCGGAGGAACAUGUGGUUUAAUUCGAUGAUACGCGAGGAACCUUACCCGGGCUCAAACGCAGGGGGAAUGUCGGUGAAAGCCGGCAGCUAGUAAUAGUCACCUGCGAGGUGCUGCAUGGUUGUCGUCAGCUCGUGCCGUGAGGUGUCGGCUUAAGUGCCAUAACGAGCGCAACCCCUAUCGACAGUUACUAACGGGUGAAGCCGAAGACUCUGUCGAGACUGCCGGCGCAAGCCGCGAGGAAGGUGGGGAUGACGUCAAAUCAGCACGGCCCUUACGUCCGGGGCGACACACGUGUUACAAUGGCAGGUACAGAAGGCAGCCAGUCAGCAAUGACGCGCGAAUCCCGAAAACCUGUCUCAGUUCGGAUUGGAGUCUGCAACCCGACUCCAUGAAGCUGGAUUCGCUAGUAAUCGCGCAUCAGCCAUGGCGCGGUGAAUACGUUCCCGGGCCUUGCACAAAGCGCCCGUC
RNAcentral lists this ribosomal RNA (1354 nucleotides) under uncultured bacterium. Its description in RNAcentral is "partial 16S ribosomal RNA". It matches the Rfam family "Bacterial small subunit ribosomal RNA", at positions 52 to 1398 of the family's 1533-position model. The record is from RNAcentral.